AGCAGCCGCGGUAAUUCCAGCUCCAAUAGCGUAUAUUAAAGUUGUUGCAGUUAAAAAGCUCGUAGUUGAAUUUCGGGGUUAGUAGGUUGGUCGUGCCACUGGUACGUACUGGUCUCACUGACUCCUCCUUCCUGAUGAACUGUAAUGCCAUUAAUUUGGUGUUGCGGGGAAACUGGACUGUUACUUUGAAAAAAUUAGAGUGUUUAAAGCAAGCUAACGCUUGAAUACAUUAGCAUGGAAUAAUGAAAUAGGACGUUCGAUCCUAUUUUGUUGGUUUCUAGGAUUGACGUAAUGAUUAAUAGGGAUAGUUGGGGGCAUUAGUAUUCAAUUGUCAGAGGUGAAAUUCUUGGAUUUAUUGAAGACUAACUACUGCGAAAGCAUUUGCCAAGGAUGUUUUCAUUAAUCAAGAACGAAAGUUAGGGGAUCGAAGACGAUCAGAUACCGUCGUAGUCUUAACCAUAAACUAUGCCGACUAGGGAUCGGAUGAUGUUAAUUUUUAAUGACUCAUUCGGCGCCUUAC
RNAcentral lists this ribosomal RNA (520 nucleotides) under uncultured Glomus. RNAcentral describes it as "SSU rRNA". It matches the Rfam family "Eukaryotic small subunit ribosomal RNA", at positions 569 to 1091 of the family's 1831-position model. Lineage: Eukaryota; Fungi; Glomeromycota; Glomeromycetes; Glomerales; Glomeraceae. The record is from RNAcentral.